GGGUUGGUAGCUCAGUUGGUAGAGCAGCGGCCUUUUAAGCCGUUGGUCCGGGGUUCGAGCCCCCGCCAGCCUACCA
Molecule: transfer RNA, 76 nt
Filed under: Verrucomicrobiota bacterium
Lineage: Bacteria; Pseudomonadati; Verrucomicrobiota
Description: Verrucomicrobia bacterium tRNA-Lys
Rfam family: tRNA
About the family: Transfer RNA (tRNA) molecules are approximately 80 nucleotides in length.
Source: RNAcentral